AAGCUAAUUACCUAACGUUUCUCUCCCGAGCCCCUCUCCCUCACGAUUUCUACCCCAUCGCGUGUGCUGCUCUGAUCUGCCGGUCGUCGUCGUCCCUCUCCUGGCCGCAAACACCAAGUGCUCGCUGGAAGUGAGCAUCCAAGUCCUCUAUUCUUCCGUGCCCUAGAUUGCUGGAUAGCCGAUCCACCAUCGUCGACACUUGUGCAUCACCCCGAUCACCGCCACCACCACUGCUCGGUGGCGCCGUUGCUGGAGGGGAAGGAGCCAACAAAAAAGGGGGUAGGGCUACCAUUCGUGUAGUCACCACCCCUUUCCUCCUCUCUCUCGUGGGAUGUCGCAACCCACGCCGCUAACAUCUUUCGUCGCCUGCUUCGAUCCAUAAGCAUAGGACCAUCGCUUGAAAGGGGAAUCGACGCAAGGGGAUUUAGGCCACAAAGAGAUCUAGGCUACAGUGAUCACCUCCUUGAUAGAAUCCCGGUUAUCACAGUAGGCAGGUGAUUCCUGAGCAAUGUGUGCUGCUGGAUCAGAGUCGCCACUUCUUGAGAGCAAGCUUUGUGCCAUUGAGCUACCCACCUAGCUUCGACCAGCACUGUUCGCCAGUGAUCCACAGCUCCGAACAUCCUAUUUUCGACAGUAAAUUCUCCGGCCAUGAGUCAACAGAGGAGCAACUAGUUUUGGGAUUUCUAAUAUGUAUCAUGUUACAAGACUUUAAUUAGAGACAGACAUCUUAACGAGAGACUUAUUUUGGGGACGAUCUAUAAUAAAGGUAGGUAUUUCUUCCUUGAUCUCUUUAGCUCUUUGAACUUAGUGCAUAUUUAUUUUUAUUUUAUAGAUUAGAUUACUUUACCUUAAUCUAUCCGUAUUGUUAUCCUGCUUGAUACUUGUGCUUGACCUUUAAGAAGAUAUAUUUAUUUCAGAUACAGUUUUAGCUUUUGGAAAUCCAUACUCUGUUAUAUAUUUAUAGGUAGAGUAUGUAUAGUAGGGGAUAUUGUUGGAUUGCACUAGAGGGGGGGGGCUUGAAUAGCGCGCGUGGCUUUCACGCAUUUUGUAAUCGGAAAUUCGACGAGUAAAGCAGCGGAAAUAAAAUCAAACACACAGAAAGGACCCAAGUGUUUACUUGGUUCAGAGCCUUGGGUGAUUCCUACUCCAAGGCCCGCGAUCGUUGAUCACUUUCGGUGGGCAACAACUAUAUAGCGCAAAAGUGUACAAGAGUAUUACAAUUUCACAGUAUUGAAAACUUAUACUGACAACAAGAAAUCUUAAAACUGAAGCUCCGAGUCGUCGGUGGCUUGUCGUAGCUUGGUCGGAACGUCACGUUAGCAGCUUGUUGAAGACAGAUGGCUUUUCAGAUCAUUGAUUGAGCUGCUAGUCGAAGUGGCCUUAAAUAGGUUGUUGAGGGUGCCUCCAAGCAUGUCCGAGGCGCCUCCAACUUGCCGAGUCAGUCGCGUGGAUCAGAACAGAACCGGUCGCAACUUAUCUGGUUGAAGGCGCCUCCAUCACCUUUUGAGGCGCCUCAAAGCAGUGGUCCAAGGCGCCUCCAAUGACCAUUAAGGCGCCUCCAACUCCUCUUCGCAUCCAGCUCACACUCUGCACCCGAGGCGCCUCAAGCUCCAUGAGGGUGCCUCGGGUACUGUUCAUUCGAGGCAAGUUGUGCACUUUAAUCCCUGCAAAAUAUGUUAGUUCACAACACACCCACAUACCCUGCAAGAUAAAGUUAGCACACAUAUAAAUACAAUAAAAAGAGCAUUCGACAAUCUCUGGACUGUCCAGUUCUGACUUCGAAUUUCCGACCGGAAACCCUAGGUCGAACCGACGCCUACUGUUCCCUCUUCCGGGGAACGCACCCUCACCUACUCCACUCUGGAGA
This is a long non-coding RNA of Zingiber officinale, 1867 nucleotides long. RefSeq lists it as uncharacterized. The transcript is spliced from 4 exons. Lineage: Eukaryota; Viridiplantae; Streptophyta; Magnoliopsida; Zingiberales; Zingiberaceae. The record is from RefSeq and is a predicted model, not a curated record.